UACGUAGGGGGCGAGCGUUGUCCGGAUUUACUGGGCGUAAAGCGCGUGUAGGCGGGAGAUUAAGUUGGGUGUGAAAGCCCCCGGCUCAACUGGGGAGGGUCAUUCGAUACUGAUCGACUCGAAGGCAGGAGAGGGUAGUGGAAUUCCCGGUGUAGUGGUGAAAUGCGUAGAUAUCGUAAGGAAGACCAGUGGCGAAGGCGAAUCUCUGGACAGUUACUGACACUGAGGCUCGAAGGCCAGGGGAGCAAACGGG
This 253-nucleotide ribosomal RNA is filed under the name uncultured bacterium. Its description in RNAcentral is "partial 16S ribosomal RNA". It matches the Rfam family "Bacterial small subunit ribosomal RNA", at positions 524 to 776 of the family's 1533-position model. The record is from RNAcentral.